This is a non-coding RNA of Acanthosepion pharaonis, 108 nucleotides long. The record is from the annotation of a GenBank genome assembly. NCBI's taxonomy places the organism in Eukaryota, Metazoa, Mollusca, Cephalopoda, Sepiida, Sepiidae.
UUACGGCCAUAUCACGUUGAAACAUCAAUUCCUGUACGAUCACCGAAGUUAAGCAGCGUCGAGCCUCGUCAGUAACUAAAUGGGUGACUUCUUGGGGAUACCUGGCGC